This 1949-nucleotide ribosomal RNA is filed under the name Eggerthella lenta. Its description in RNAcentral is "partial 23S ribosomal RNA". It matches the Rfam family "Bacterial large subunit ribosomal RNA", at positions 1 to 1896 of the family's 2925-position model. Lineage: Bacteria; Bacillati; Actinomycetota; Coriobacteriia; Eggerthellales; Eggerthellaceae. The record is from RNAcentral.
AAGAAGAUACUAAGGGCGCACGGCGGAUGCCUUGGCACAGGAAGUCGAAGAAGGACGCGGCAAGCUGCGAUAAGCUCCGGGGAGGCGCAAACGGCCUUCGAUCCGGAGAUCUCCGAAUGGGGGAACCCAGCAGGGGUCAUGCCCUGCUACCCGCGCCUGAAUGAAAUAGGGCGCGAGGAGGCAACCCGGGGAACUGAAACAUCUAAGUACCCGGAGGAAGAGAAAUCAACCGAGAUUGCGGGAGUAGCGGCGAGCGAAACCGCACCAGCCCAAACCCAUGCACGUGCAAGCUUGAGGGCGUUGCUGCAUGAGGGGUUGUGGGACCGCGCAUUCCAUGGGCCUCAGACCAUGGACGCAGUUACAAAUCCGCGCGGAAGCGGAACGGCCUGGGAAGGCCGGCGGAACAGGGUGAGAGCCCCGUACGCGAAUCCGCGCGGACUGCGAGUGCGGCGCCCGAGUAGCGCCGGGCACGUGAAACCCGGUGCGAACCUGGGGGGACCACCCUCCAAGGCUGAACACUCUCCUGUGACCGAUAGCGAACCAGUACCGUGAGGGAAAGGUGAAAAGCACCCCGAGAGGGGAGUGAAACAGUACCUGAAACCGUGCGCCUACAAGCAGUCGGAGCCCCCGAGCGGGGUGACGGCGUGCCUUUUGUAGAAUGAGCCAGCGAGUUGCGGUAUGCGGCGAGGUUAAGGUUUGAACCGAGCCGCAGUGAAAGCGAGCCUUUAAGAUGGCGAUAGAGUCGCAUGCUGCAGACGCGAAGCCGGGUGAGCUAUCCAUGGGCAGGCUGAAGCGGGGGUAAGACCCCGUGGAGGGCCGAACCCACUUCGGUUGAAAACGGAGGGGAUGACCCGUGGAUAGGGGUGAAAGGCCAAUCAAACCCGGAGAUAUCUCGUUCUCCCCGAAAUAGCUUUAGGGCUAGCCUCGGCCGUUCUCCGACGGCGGUAGAGCACUGGAUCGUCGAGGGGGCUUCACCGCCUACCGACACGAACCAAACUCCGAAUGCCGCCGGAUCAGAGGCCGGGAGUCAGAACAUGUGGGCUAAGCUGUGUGUUCGAGAGGGAAACAGCCCAGACCGCCCGCUAAGGUCCCCAAAUCCAUGCUGAGUGGCAAAGGAUGUGCGUUUGCCUAGACAACCAGGAUGUUGGCUUAGAAGCAGCCAUGCAUUUAAAGAGUGCGUAACAGCUCACUGGUCAAGUGGACAUGCGCCGACAAUUCACGGGGCUAAGCAUGGUACCGAAGCGGCGGACUAAUCUAUAUUAGUGGUAGGGGAGCUUUCCCCGCAGCGGAGAAGCCGAGAGGGCGACCCUCGGUGGAGCGCGGGGAAGUGAGAAUGCUGGCAUGAGUAACGAGAGCGGCGCGAGAAACGCCGCCGCCGUAAGCCUAAGGGUUCCUGGGCAAGGCUAAUCCUCCCAGGGUCAGUCGGGAGCUAAGGCGAGGCCGAGAGGCGUAGCCGAUGCGCAACAGGCGGACAUUCCUGUACCGCCUGCGGACCGCUAUCACCGACGGGGUGACGGAGAAGGGUAGCCGAGCGGGGUUCUGGACGUCCCCGUGAAAGCGCGUAGGGAGCAUCGCAUGGAAAUCAGCGGCGCAUAUAUCCUGAGACGCGAGACGAAAGCUUAUGCUGAAGUCGGCGAGCCCAUGCUUCCGAGAAAAACCUCUAGGAAGGGACGCAGGCGCCCGUACCAAAACCGACACAGGUGGGCAGGUAGAGCAUACCGAGGCGAUCGGGAGAACCAUGGUUAAGGAACUCGGCAUACUGACUCCGUAACUUCGGGAGAAGGAGUGCCCCUGGCGGUGGAGGGACUAGCUCCCCGAGCGGCCGGGGGUCGCAGCGAAACGGCCCAAGCGACUGUUUAUCAAAAACACAGGACUCUGCAAAGCCGUAAGGCGACGUAUAGGGUCUGACGCCUGCCCGGUGCUGGAAGGUUACGCGGAUGGGUCAGCCG